This is a long non-coding RNA of Vitis riparia (riverbank grape), 479 nucleotides long. RefSeq lists it as uncharacterized. Lineage: Eukaryota; Viridiplantae; Streptophyta; Magnoliopsida; Vitales; Vitaceae. The transcript is spliced from 3 exons. The record is from RefSeq and is a predicted model, not a curated record.
AAGUGAAAUACAUGAUGAAUUACUACCAAGACAAGCCUCCGGUCGUCGGCGCUCCUCCUCCGUCGGGGUAUCCAACAGCCUACCCUGUAGUAGGUCCACCGGCUCCACCUCAAACCGUGUAUGUUAAUCAGCCGCCGGCGGAAUCAAUACCGGCAGGGUGCUGCGGUUGCUUGGCAGGAUGUUUGGCUGGCAUUUGCUGCUGCUGUACCCUUGAAAUUUGUUUUUGAUACAAUUUGCUUGGGGGUGGAGGAGAAGCCAAGAAGAUACAUGGAAUCAACGCCUGCCCAUGGAAUAUGAUGCCAACAGUUUGGUUUGCUUAAUGAAUAAGAAGUUGAUGACUUUGCUUUCAUUUAUUGAAAUCAUGUUGUGAAAAAUGAAUUGCUUUUACUUUUUGAACACAAAGUGUUGUGGAAAUGGUACUAGUUUGAGGACUGCUGUAAUAGAUUGUUGAAAGCGAAUUGCUCGGUCAUCACUUUUGA